ACUCUACAUCUAGGAUCCAUAGUGGUUUCAGGUCGAAGGGUGGUAUACACCACUAUCACCAUGAGAAUAACUUAUGACACUUUGCAUUCUAUAUGGUAUUCUCAUAGCGGGUCAAUCCAGUAUAAAUAUUACUCCUAAUAUUCAUACUUAUGUUUAAGACUUGAUAACUCAUUAUCCAUGAUCCAUGAGAUAUGAUCAUCAGUCUAUAUACAUAAUAGUCUUAAUGCUUUAAUGUUAUCCCACUUCACAACAAAGCUCGACUACGGAUACUUUAAGAAUAGUGUCCUUGUGUUUAAUGGGAUCUCGUGAUUAAGUCACACUUGAUACAUUAAACGGACUAUCUAUUCUAGGGACUUUAUUAAACAAACAUAAUAAAGAAAAAUCAUUUUAUUAUUAAUAAAUAAUUUGAUACAAGUACCAAAAGUAUUGGCCUCUAGGGCUUACACCAACAAUCUCUCACUAGCACUAGAGCCAAUCAGGCAUACCCUUAAUGCCCAUAGAUCUAGUAUGGCCAUCAUGCUUCUGUUGUGCAAGAGUCUCUGUCAGUGGGUCAGCAAUAUUGUCAAGUGUAGGUACUCUGCAUAUUUUCACAUCUCCUCUAUCUAUUAUCUCUCGAAUGAGGUGAUAACGCCUAAGUAUGUGUUUGGAUCGUUUGUGAGAUCUAGGCAAAUAUUGUCAAGUGUAGGUACUCUGCAUAUUUUCACAUCUCCUCUAUCUAUUAUCUCUCGAAUGAGGUGAUAACGCCUAAGUAUGUGUUUGGAUCGUUUGUGAGAUCUAGGCUCCUUAGCUUGUGCGGUAGCACCAUUGUUAUCACAAUAGAGACCAAUGAGAUCCACAAUGCUAGGAACUAUGCCAAGUUCACUAAUGAACUUUUUGAUCCAAACAGCUUUCUUUGCUGCACUUGAGGCAGCAAUAUACUCGGCCUCGGUUGUAAAAUCAGCAACUAUAUCUUGCUUUGAACUUUUCCAGCUCGAAACGCCACCAUUUAAGCAAAACACAUAACCAGAUUACGAUCUAAAGUCAUCCUUAUCUGUCUGGAAGCUAGCAUCGGUGUAUCCAAUUACAACAAGCUCUUCAUGACCUCCAUAUAUCAAGAAUGAGUCCUUAUUCCUUCUCAAAUACUUAAGGAUAUUUUUGACAGCUACCCAAUGAGCAUCAUCGGGAUCAGAUUGUUACCUACUCGUUGCACUUAAAGCAUACGAGACAUUUGAUCGAGUACAUAACAUGGCAUACAUGAUAGAUCCUAUUGCAGAUGCAUAUGGAAUCUUAUUCAUGCGAUCCCUUUCUUCCUUAGUUGAAGGGGGUUGUGUUUUUGAUAGACAUAGGCCAUGUUGCAUAGGUAUGAAUCCUUUCUUGGAAUCAUGCAUAUUAAAGUGUCUCAGCACUUUGUUUAUGUAUGUACUCUGACUUAGGCCAAGCAUUUUUUGUGAUCUAUCUCUAUAGAUCCUGAUUCCUAAUAUAUAGGUUGCUUCACCCAGGUCCUUCAUAGAAAAACAUUUCCCUAACCAAGACUUUACUUGUUGUAGGGUAGGGACAUCGUUUCCAAUGAGUAAUAUGUCAUCUACAUAUAAUACCAGGAAGACGAUCAUGCUCCCACUAACCUUCUUGUAGACACAAGGCUAGUAGGGACAUCGUUUCCAAUGAGUAAUAUGUCAUCUACAUAUAAUACCAGGAAGACGAUCAUGCUCCCACUAACCUUCUUGUAGACACAAGGCUCAUCUUCAUUCUUGAUGAAUCCAUAUUGUUUUAUUGUUUCAUCAAAACGAAGAUUCCAGCUUCUGGAAGCUUGCUUCAAUCCAUAUUUUGAUCUUUGUAACUUACAUAUCUUUUGUGCUUCUUCUGGUAUGUCAAAUCCUUUAGGUUGUGUCAUGUACAUAUCCUCAAGACGAUUCCCAUUAAGGAAAGCAGUUUUGACAUCCAUCUGCCAUAUUUCAUAAUCAUGAUAUGCAACGAUAGCAAGUAAAAUCCAAACAGAUUUAAGCAUUGCAACUGGUGAAAAGGUUUCAUCACAGUCAACCCCGUGAAUUUGUUUAUAUCCUUUUGCAACCAGUCUUACCUUAUAGGUAUGUACCUUACCAUCCAUGUCAGUCUUCCUUUUGAAGACCCACUUGCAUCCUAUAGGGUUAACUCCUACAUGAGGCUCUACCAAGGUCCAAACCUGGUUUAUGUACAUGGUAUCCAUUUCAGAUUUCAUGGCUGCUAUCCACUUCUCAGACUCGGGACCAGUUAUGGCCUCUAGGUAGGUCACAUGCUCAUCUUGAUCCAUGAGUAAUACAUCACCUUGAUCAGUUAUGAGAUAUCCAUAUCUUUCAGGUAGGUGACGUAUCCUGCUUGACCUACGUUGGUCUUGUUCUACUUGAGUAGGUUGCUCUUCCACAACUACUUGUGUUUCCUGCUCUAAUUCCUCCAUAGGUGUAUCAAUGCUUUGUGAUUCUUGAAUUUCUUCAAGCUCUACUUUCCUCCCACUGAUUCCUUUGGAAAUAAAAUCCUUUUCUAGGAAAACUCUAGUUCGAGCGACAAACACUUUGCCCUCAGAAUGAUUGUAUAAGUAAUACCCUCUUGUUUCUUUAGGAUAUCCCACAAAUAAGCAUUUAUCAUAUUUGGGCUCAAGCUUAAUUUAAAUUCGUCAUUUCACAUAAACUUCGCAACCCCAAACCUUCAUGUAAGACAUAUGUGGUUUCUUACCACUCCAUAUCUCAUAUGGUGUCUUCUCAACCUUUUUGGAUGGAACACGGUUAAGUGUGUAAGCUGUUGUCAACAGUGAAUGUCCCCAAAAGGAGUUUAGAAGAUCGGCGUGACUCAUCAUGGAUCGGACCAUGUCUAACAAGGUUCGAUUUCUUCUCGCAGAUACACUGUUCCAUUGGGUUUUUCCAGGAGGAGUAAGUUGGGAUAGGAUCCCACACUCUUUCAGAUGGUCAUCAAACUCUAGGCUUAAAUACUCACCAUCUCGAUCUGAUCGAAGAGUUUUAAUAUUCUUACCUAGUUGGUUUUGUACAGGGAUAGGAUCCCACACUCUUUCAGAUGGUCAUCAAACUCUAGGCUUAAAUACUCACCAUCUCGAUCUGAUCGAAGAGUUUUAAUAUUCUUACCUAGUUGGUUUUGUACUUCAUUCUUGAAUUCCUUUAACUUUUCAAAGGACUCUGAUUUGUGUUUCAUUAAAUACACAUAACCAUAUCUAUUGAAAUCAUCAGUAAAUAUGGUGAAGUACUGAAAACCUCCUCUGGAUGGUAUGUUCAAUGGUCCACAUACAUCAGUAUGUAUGAGGGCCAAAAGAUCAUUAGCUCUUUCACCUUUUCCUGUGAAUGAAGACUUUGUCAUAUUUCCAAUUAAACAAGAUAUGCAUGUCUCAUAUGAUUCAUAAUCAAAAGAGUCCAAGAGUCCAUCUUUAAAGAGUUGGAAAUGUGUUUCUCAUUUAUGUGGCCUAAUCGACAAUGCCAAAGGUAAGUUGGAUUUAACUCAUUAGGUUUCAUCUUUUUAGUAUUAAUGUUAUAAAUAGGCAUUUCAAGAUCAAGGAUAUGUAGUCCAUUGUUCAUUUAUGUAGUAGCAUAGAAUAUAUCAUUCAAAUAAAUGGAGCAACAAUUAUUCUUUAUUAUAAAUGAAAAACCAAACUUGUCUAAACAAGAAACGGAAAUAAUAUUCCUGCUAAUUGCAGGUACAUAAUAAUAGUUCUCUAACUGGAUUAUUAAACCACUAGUAAAGUCAAUACAUAAGUUCCUACGGCUAAAGCAGCAACCUUGCUCCAUUGCCAACUCGUAGGUCAACUUCACCUUUUGCCAAAUCUCUACUCCUUUUUAGCCCCUGCACAUUGGUACAAAUGUGAGAACCGCAUCCAGUAUCUAAUACCCAUGAUGCAGAAGUAGAUAAAUUAAUUUCAAUAAUAAAAAUACCUGAAGUUGAAGUCUCAACUCCAUUCUUCUUAUCUUCCAGGUACUUUGGGCAGUUUCUAUUCUAGUGUCCGGUCUUACCGCAAAGAAAGCGGGUGCCUUCCUUUGCUAUGCCUCCACUAAGCUUCAAAGCAGGAGCAGUGGGUUUGGGUUUGGCAACUUUCUUGCCUUUCCCUUUAUCACCCUGCUUGGUGGGUCUUUUGUUCUGUCUUUUUCCAUUUCUGAUCAUCAGAACGAACUUCCCUUUUGACUUCAGAUUCUGCUCAGCAGUUCUUAACAUGGCUAGCAGUUCAAGAAGAGAUUUGUCCAUAUCAUUCAUAUUGAAAUUAAGGACAAAUUGACUGAAUCUAUCUGGUAACAAUUGCAAGAUCAAAUCAGUCGCAAGUUCCUUUCCGAGGGGAAAAUCCAACCUCUCAAGGUUCUCCACAUACCUAAUCAUCUUGAGCACAUGGGGACCUACAGGGGCUCCCUCAAUUAACUUGCCUUGAAAAGGGGCUUUUGAAACUUCAAACCUUUCAUGCCUUGCCUGCUCUUGAUAGAGCAUCUUCAGGUGUUCGAUCAUAUUAAACGCUGCCAUGUUCUCAUGUUGCUUUUGCAACUCUGAGUUCAUGGUAGCUAGCAUGAGGCAACUAGUUUUAUUGGCAUCAUCGGCAUGCUUCUUAUAAAGCAUCUCUUUAUGCCUUAGGUGUAGAACUAGGAGGUUCCUCUUCAGGAACAGGUUUCUGCAAGACAUACAGCUUUCUAUCAUGUUUGAGGAUAAUCCUCAGAUUUCGGUGUCAAUCCAGAAAAUUUGUCCCAGACAAUUUUUCCUUAUCAAGGAUUGAUCGUAAAAUAUUGUUAGAGGUGUUUGUUGUCAUGGUAACUACAUGAAAAUAAUGAAAAUAUAAGUAUCAAUAACAUAUUUAAUUAGGCAUUUAAUUAAAUAUGCUCCCACUAUUUUACUCAAAACAAAUGACCCUCACCAUUUGAUUCGGAAAAUCCCGUUGGAAAGAAAAUAUAAGUAUCAAUAACAUAUUUAAUUAGGCAUUUAAUUAAAUAUGCUCCCACUAUUUUACUCAAAACAAAUGACCCUCACCAUUUGAUUCGGAAAAUCCCGUUGGAAGAUUUUCUAGUGGGUUAAGAUCCACAUUUCACUUUGUUUUAAGUUUGCGUAGGCGGAUUACACAAAACUAGGUUGUUUAGGUAGGAACUCCUUUCAAUUGUAUCUAGUAUAACUCUCGAAUAUUUUAGUUGGGUGAAAAUAACUCCUUAUUCCAAUCCAUCACAUGGAUCAUUUUCAACUCUUGCUUCUAAACAUAUAUAAUCUUAUUAUAAUUUGUUUAUUUAAGUUUGACCCAUUGUUUUAGCAAUUGGAUAUUACAAUCAUCCCAUCGCACCUUACUAAUAUAGAAUAUGCACCUCGCAUAGGCGAAACCUACAUUAUUCGAUACUAGUCUUGAUGAGUGCUAAAACUUGGAAAGCAUAAACUUAAUAUUUAAUUUGAGGGAAUUUGCAAUUAUACAUUAUUCGAUACUAGUCUUGAUGAGUGCUAAAACUUGGAAAGCAUAAACUUAAUAUUUAAUUUGAGGGAAUUUGCAAUUAUUCUGAUCUCACCGGCUUAUUUAUCAUAUAAAUUGUCUCUCACGUGUAUCAACAUACAUUCACAUGCAUCAAUAUACAUACAAAAUAAAACAGUUAUGACCCAUAGCACAAUUUUUUUCCCAAGCCAAUGAGAGAAUAUAAGCUAACCUAAUAACGAUCUAAGCUUCUCCAAGAAAGAUCUUCAAGGUUGUCCUCCUUUGAUAUUGUAUUCUUCUCUUUCUUCAUAACAUCACAUUACAUAAAAGAAACUCGUUUUACAUACGAGGGAGUGAGAUGAGAAAAGAAGUUACAUUAAGAGAUUAAAAGAGAGGCACGACACGCAGGUUGUAUUUUAAAAUCCCAAAACAAAAUAAAGGAAAACUAAGGCCAUAACUGAUCACCACAAGACAAUAAUAAUAAACACAUUAUUAUUAUUAAUUUAAAUUCUGUUAAUUAAAUAAACCAAAUUAAAUUUCGGCGACCGAUUACACUAUGCAGAGUUAGCAGGGUUGCAGGGGAAACACCCCAACGCAAAUCGAUGUCGAUUUUCGUAUCAACACUUGAUACUUUAAAGCACAACUCUUGCGCAAUCACAACCCUGAUCGCAUAACUCUUUGAUAACACAACCCUUGUACCGUCAUGAACCCUAAUGCACCAAUUUCAUACUGUCAAACACACCUCAAUGGUUAAUUCAGUAUGAUUGAUCAACACGUCAUUGCUUCACCAUACUUUCGUCGGAUUCCGAAGUAAAUGACCAUUGAUCGCUCAAAGGAAAACAACCAUUAAGUGUUUGAAUGAACGAAAGAGAAACAAUAUAUCACAUAUACCGUAUUUUGCAUCAGAAUUACUUAUAUUAUAUAUAUAACUUGAUCGAUCUUAAUUAUGUAACCUAUGGACGAUCGAUGUAUCGCUGCUUCACCAUACUAACGUCAGAUUCCGAAGCAUAGUCAACAUCAAUCAUCCAAAUCGUACACACAUUAUGCCAAAUCUAAUUACUCGUUUAUUCUUUGAUUCAUUUUGUCUUUUAAUCGUAUUCAUACAGAAAAUACAGAAAAUAAACAGUCAUCAGAUGCAUGGUUUCAUAAGUGGCUUUGAUACCACUGGAAGAGAAUAGCAAUCCAAAAUGCAACGAAAAUUAAAAUUUUCUCCUUUAGUGAUCCUUACGAAUGGGAAUGAUCUGUGAUAGAAUCGUUACCUCUUGUGGCGAUUGAAACCUUUGAUACAGAUCUAAGGAGUGAUCACGAACGUUGAAUGGUGACAACGCCUCUACUCAGUCCAUACGAACGAAUUCCUUCAAUCUCAGUGUUAGCUACUACGAAUGAAGGCUUUGAGUGAGAGAGACAGAGAGAAACGAAAUUUCAACUGCACUAAUGCUUCUACACAAGGGUUCUAUUCAUAGAACCACUUGAGUGGGCUGCAAGCUAAAAAGCCCACUUAAAUGUAUGUGACCCAUAUCUUAUGAUAUGCCAAAAUCACUUAAGCGCGUAGUACCUUACCAUAUUUUGUAUUCUACUUAAGUACACCGUACCUUACGAUGUUCUACAAUUCACUUAAGUGCAUUGUACCUUACAGUGUUCCUUAUUUACUCGAUCUCUCAUCAAUCCGUCAUUUUGUGUGUGACCCUGUACGUUUUUGCGACAUUAACAAUUAUACUAAAUCACGUAUUUAACAUAAUAAAUAGUGAGCGGUAUCUAGCAACACAUCAUUGCUACCCAAGACACGAAAAUGUAAUGUGAUCUGAAAAAAUCCUCUUGUGAUAAUAGUUAUGUGUAUAAUUACCCUUUUUCCCUUAUGUCUAUAUUGAACACAAGGCAUAGACCGUGUCAUCCUUGUCAAGUUCAAUAUUGGACCCUUAGACAUUUAUCCUGUUACGCAGUCCCUCAACAUGCUUCGUGGAGUACCCAUCAACUGUCUUUAUGGUCAUCGAGUUAUGGACAAUGUUUGAUCAGCAAUAAAGCACUCGACUCUACAUCUAGGGUUCAUAGUGGUUUCAGGCCGAAGGGUGGUAUACACCACUAUCACCAUGAGAAUAACUUAUGACACUUUGCAUAACAUUCUAUAUGGUAUUCUCAUAGCGGGUCAAUCCAGUAUAAAUAUUACUCCUAAUAUUCAUACCUAUGUUUAAGACUUGAUAACUCCUUAUUCAUGAUCCAUGAGAUGUGAUCAUCAGUCUAUAUACA
RNAcentral lists this long non-coding RNA (7624 nucleotides) under Lathyrus oleraceus (garden pea). RNAcentral describes it as "Pisum sativum (pea) long non-coding RNA (PSAT_LNC031313)". Lineage: Eukaryota; Viridiplantae; Streptophyta; Magnoliopsida; Fabales; Fabaceae. The record is from RNAcentral.